Oryctolagus cuniculus (rabbit) is the source of this 1882-nucleotide long non-coding RNA. The record is from Ensembl. NCBI's taxonomy places the organism in Eukaryota, Metazoa, Chordata, Mammalia, Lagomorpha, Leporidae.
AAGUGCCGGCGCUGGGCUGUAAUUCCUGGAGUCUGGACGGAGACGGGCCUUCAAUUAGGCUGUCCUGACUCCAACGGGCGCACACGCUCGGAGUCCCUUCCGCCGGCUGCUGAGGGACAGCGAAGGAGGGGCCGUCUCACAGACACCAGUCACGUGGCCACACGCACACGCACACACACGCACACACACACACACACACACACACACCAGACCCUGCUAAGUCUGGGUCAGAGACGGGGAAGACAGGUGCUGUGGCCAGGACUCAACACUCAGGGCAGGCUGGGCAACUCGAACAAGGAAAACUCCCCCUGCAAUCCCUCCUGGGGCUCUGCUCACCUCCAGGGGGCUCUGUUCUCACCUCCAGGGGGCUCUGCUCACCUCCCAGGGCUCUGUUCUCACCUCCAGGGCUCUGUUCUCACCUCCAGGGGCUCUGCUCACCUCCCAGGGCUCUGUUCUCACCUCCAGGGGCUCUGCUCACCUCCAGGGCUCUGUUCUCACCUCCAGAGCUCUGUUCUCACCUCCAGGGCUCUGUUCUCACCUCCAGGGGGCUCUGUUCUCACCUCCAGGGCUCUGCUCACCUCCAGGGCUCUGUUCUCACCUCCAGGGCUCUGCUCUCACCUCCAGGGCUCUGUUCUCACCUCCAGGGGGCUCUGCUCACCUCCCAGGGGCUCUGCUCUCACCUCCCAGAGCUCUGUUCUCACCUCCUGGACUAUGUUCUCACCUCCAGAGCUCUGUUCUCACCUCCUGGACUAUGUUCUCACCUCCAGAGCUCUGUUCUCACCUCCCAGGGCUCUGUUCUCACCUCCUAGGGGCUCUGCUCUCACCUCCAGAGCUCUGUUCUUACUUCCUGGACUCUGUUCUCACCUCCAGGGGCUCUGCUAACUACGCGUGGCGACCUGGCCGGGCUACAGAUGCCCCGAGAGCUGGAAGCACAUGACCGGGGUGUCUGCCUGGUGUCUCCCUGUGCCACCAAGGUGCACUGUCCCCAGGGCAGGAGGCAGCACCCAAUCUGCUGAGGGCCUGGACAGACGACAGGUGACUUUUCUUGCGCGCGUCCGUCUUCUCGGCCUUCAUUCCUGGAACAUGCACCAGCGGCUGCCCCGGCUCCGGGGUCUUCCACCCUGCAGGUCACACGUCCUAGACUUCUCCACGCCCCCAAGGCAGUGCCUGUCCGUGUCUGUGUGUCCUGCUGGUUCCAUCUCUCUGGAGACCCUGGCUCGUCCCUGCGUGGCUUCUGCAUGGCUGGGAGCUUUGGACAGCAAGGCCUGGUGCCCGUGUGGGAAGCGGAUAGCAGCAGAAGGCCGGAGCACAGCCUGGAGUACCCAGGCCCACUCUCCCACUGCCCCGUGAUGCACUGGUCAGAGCCCAGGGAACCAUCCCGCCUGAAAACCAGAGGGGCGGGAGGCUCCCGGCUUCCUCGCGUCCUUGCCUGAGCCUAGUCCAGGGGUGACUGACCACACAUGCAGUGCCAGCCCCGCCAUGUCCUGACUGCCACCCUCCGUGCCCUCCUCAGCCCCUCCCACUGCCUGCUCUUCUCACGUCCCUUUCUAGAACCUUCUUUCCCACAUGCCCGCCGGCCCUCACGCUCUCCCCAGCAGCUGGCACAGCCCUCCUUCUCCUGGAUUUCCACCUCUCCUCUGCAUGAGAGGCCGCCCCGUGCCUCCCCUGAGCUUCACUGUCACUCCCUUCCCACAGCUGGGCCGCACGCAGGGCCACGGUUUUCAGUCCCCUGUGCCAGGAGCAGGUGCUGGGGUCCCGGUGCCAGAGCCCGGUGCUGAGCGGCAUUGAGCCCGCUCACAAACCCUGCCAGGGCCAGGCCCUUCCUCUGCGGGGAUGGCGCUCGGGCUCCUGCUGUGGAAGCAGCCACUGAUGCAGGCAGCAG